AGUUGUUGCAGUUAAAAAGCUCGUAGUUGGACCUUGGGCAAGGGGGACAGGUCGGCCGAACGGCUCGACUCGAGUCUCCCGCCUCUUUGGGUGGGCGAGCCGUCGGUACCGUUCAGCCGGCUUACCGUGAAUAAUGUGAAGAGUUUAAAGCGUGCAAUUGCUGCGUUUGCUUGGCUUCAUCUACCUGGAUUAGACCUGGUUCCACUUGUUCUUUUUGUUGCUUUGGGGGCGAUGAAAAUGACCAAUUGGGGGCAUUGGGGGCCUUAAUACUCAGGUGAAAUACGUGAAUUUCCUGAAUACUAACUAGAGCGAAAGCAGUUGCCACGGAUGCUUUCGAUGUUCUCGAUCGACAGUAAGGGGAUCGAAGACAAUCAAAACCAUCCGAUACCUUCACAAUCAUCAAUGCCAACUAUGCCUACUAAGAAUUCGUUAACGACACUGGCGACUCCGUGUGAACUUUCUGAGAUAUUGGGUUCUGGGGGUUCUGGGGGCACUAUGGUCACACUGCUGAGACUUGACGGA
RNAcentral lists this ribosomal RNA (522 nucleotides) under uncultured eukaryote. RNAcentral describes it as "bacterial SSU rRNA". It matches the Rfam family "Eukaryotic small subunit ribosomal RNA", at positions 608 to 1151 of the family's 1831-position model. The record is from RNAcentral.